This 107-nucleotide transfer RNA is filed under the name Dipodomys ordii (Ord's kangaroo rat). It matches the Rfam family "tRNA". Rfam says of the family: Transfer RNA (tRNA) molecules are approximately 80 nucleotides in length. Their secondary structure includes four short double-helical elements and three loops (D, anti-codon, and T loops). Lineage: Eukaryota; Metazoa; Chordata; Mammalia; Rodentia; Heteromyidae. The record is from Rfam by way of RNAcentral.
GUCAGGAUGGCCGAGUGGUCUAAGGCGCCAGACUCAAGCUUUGACUUCCCAGGUUCGGGACUUCUGGUCUCCGGAUGGAGGCGUGGGUUCGAAUCCCACUUCUGACA